AAUAUAGUUACCCACUAUUUCUUAAUACUACUUACUUGUACUUAGUUUGGCAUUAAUUGUUUGAGCUUUACGAUACUUAGUCAAAAUGGUUCAAUUUUUUUCUGUAUGUACGAGUAUAUAUUUUUGCGUUAUGCUGGGGACUUUUCAUCUGGAAAAUGUGGAUGCUCAGAGGUGCCGUAUUCCUAAUCAAAUAUGGACUAGUUGCGGAAGUGCUUGUCCGCCAUCUUGUGAUUCCAAACCUGAUCAAGUAUGCACUAAGCAAUGUGUGAAAGGCUGCCAAUGUAGACAAGGGCUCCUCUUA
This is a long non-coding RNA of Planococcus citri (citrus mealybug), 301 nucleotides long. RefSeq lists it as uncharacterized. Lineage: Eukaryota; Metazoa; Arthropoda; Insecta; Hemiptera; Pseudococcidae. The transcript is spliced from 3 exons. The record is from RefSeq and is a predicted model, not a curated record.